GGGGGUUUAGCUCAGUUGGUAGAGCGUUCGCUUUGCACCGCUCUCGAGUAGUUGUUUUGUCUUCUGCGAAAUGUCGCGUGUUCGACUCAUGCAGUCUCCA
Transfer RNA from Pseudozyma hubeiensis SY62, 100 nucleotides. It matches the Rfam family "tRNA". From Rfam's summary of the family: Transfer RNA (tRNA) molecules are approximately 80 nucleotides in length. Their secondary structure includes four short double-helical elements and three loops (D, anti-codon, and T loops). The record is from Rfam. NCBI's taxonomy places the organism in Eukaryota, Fungi, Basidiomycota, Ustilaginomycetes, Ustilaginales, Ustilaginaceae.